AGUAGAAUUGCUGGGUCAUGUGGUAACUUGGUUUAACAAUUUGAGGAAUUGUCAGACUGUUUUCCAAAAUGGUUGCACCUCUUUAGAUGCUCACCAGUAGU
This 101-nucleotide microRNA precursor is filed under the name Marmota monax (woodchuck). The record is from RNAcentral. Lineage: Eukaryota; Metazoa; Chordata; Mammalia; Rodentia; Sciuridae.